Molecule: ribosomal RNA, 1115 nt
Filed under: Bryodelphax instabilis
Lineage: Eukaryota; Metazoa; Tardigrada; Heterotardigrada; Echiniscoidea; Echiniscidae
Description: SSU rRNA
Rfam family: Eukaryotic small subunit ribosomal RNA
Source: RNAcentral
AAACCAGUACAUGGAUACCUGUGGUAAUUCUAGAGCUAAUACAUGCAGCAAACCCUGACCCUUUACGGGCACGGGCGCAGUUAUUAGAUCAAAAAUCAUUCGACUAUAUCGCUUGUCGGUACGGUCGCUCGUUUGGUGAAUCUGAAUAACCACAGCAAACCGCAUGGCCUUGCGCCGGCGGUCUGUCGGUCAAGCAACUGCCUUAUCAGCUUGUUGUUAGGUUACAUGCCUAACAAGGCGUCGACGGGUAACGAACGAUCGGGGUCGGACAUCGGAGAGGGAGCUUGAGAAACGGCUACCACUUCCAAGGAAGGCAGCAGGCGCGCAAAUUACCCACUCCCGGCACGGGGAGGUAGUGACGAGAUGUAUCGAUGCGGGGCCAUUUGUGCCUUCGUAAUCGGAAUGAGAACACUUUAAAUCCUUUAACGAGGAUCUAUUGGAGGGCAAGUCUGGUGCCAGCAGCCGCGGUAAUUCCCAGCUCCAAUAGCGUAUAUUAAUGCUGCUGCGGUUAAAAAGCUCGUAGUCGGAUUUGGGCUGCCGACGGGCACCGCACUCGGCUUCACGUCGGGUGUUGUGUGCUUUUCGUGUCGUCUAACGACGGCAUUGCCGAUUUGGUAUCUCCUCAUUAGUAGGAAUGCCUUUUCGGUCGUCGGUACCACGGGCCGAACCGAGCCAAGUGCACUUAAUUGUGUGUUUGGUUCGUUUGGUGCGUUUACUUUGAAAAAAUUGGAGUGCUCAAAGCAGGCGUACAUAUGCUAUAUGCAGCCAGAACAGUGGUGCAUGGAAUAAUAGAAUAGGACCUUGGGUCUAUUUUGUUGGUUUUAAGACUUCAAGGUAAUGAUUAAAAGGGACAGACGGAGGCAUUUGUAUUGCGACGUUAGAGGUGAAAUUCUUGGAUCGUCGCAAGACAAACUAAUGCGAAAGCAUUUGUUUAGAAUGUUUUCAUUGAUCAAGAACGAAAGUUAGAGGUUCGAAGGCGAUCAGAUACCGCCCUAGUUCUAACCAUAAACGAUGCCAACCAGCGAUCCGUCGGUGUUCUCAUUAUGAACGACCCGUCGGGCAGCUUCCGGGAAACCAAAGUUUUCGGGUUCCGGGGGAAGUAUGGUGCAAAGCUG